GAGCGUAGCUUCCUUGUCGUGUGGCCUCAGUCCUUCGCCGUCCCUCGCCGUCCUUCGCCAUCGCACGCCACCGCACCCCAUCUCUCGAAAUCUGCAGACAUCUUGAUUUUUCCCACGCUGUCUGUCAGGUCUCCGCCGCCACUCGACGCCAGGGCGCCGGGUGAGUCCACAGCAGGGCGCAUGGUCGGCUCCACUCUCACCAUCGGGGGAAACUGAGGCCCCGGGGAAGGCGGCCAGAGAGGUCAGGCCCUGUCCUUGGUGCAGUGUCUCGUCCUCUUUGCCGGAGUGAGCCCCCCAGGAUUCGCGUGUCCUCGGGAAAGACACUGGCAGGCCUUGUGGGCUGUGCUGCACCUCGGACGGCUUCGCACCAGCCAGCGCCCUCUCUCUCCUGCAGCACUCUGAUCUGCACCCCCUGAGGGGCUUCCACUGUCCGCGGGGUGAGAAUGCCCCUGGGAGUGUCACAUGACUGCCGCCCCAUGUGUGUGAGAGGCGUCCUCUGGGAGAGCAUGGAUCCUGAGGUCCCAGAGUCAUGUGCUGUUCCUGGGGCUUGGAUGAUGUAGGGGAAGCAAGGUGAAAGUGGUAUCCCGUGGUUCCACGUUCUGUCCUGCUGUGGGGCUGUCCCUCACAUGCUUUCAGUGGCUGUUGCAGAGGAAGAGCCUCCGGAAAUCUGCGUGGGUCUCAGCCUUAGAUCCAAGGACAGUCCAAGGAAGUCCUAAGACCAUGGAGUUGGUGAUCUGGGAUCUGGGUUUGCUGAUAUUUCUCACCGUGAAUCUCUUGGUGGUGUUUGUGGGCACGAGAGGGGCAGAGAAUGGAGAGUGAGGCUACCACAUGAAGCGUCACCAGAGCUGCUCCCUGCUGCCUGCUCAGAGCACCCCGGAUCCACUGUUCAAUCUGCACAAGAUUCGGGGUCCAGACAUGGGAGACUUCAGCUGCCUCAGAGGACCGUGGACAGGGAAGGCCAGCCUCGCAUCCCUCUGUCCAUGCCUGGAAUGACUUUAAUAACCAAGAGUUUUAUUUUUGAAUUUGUAGCUGUCGUUCACUUUUUACCCACCCAUUCAAUAAACCUUACAGAAUUGC
This 1077-nucleotide long non-coding RNA is filed under the name Homo sapiens (human). Its description in RNAcentral is "small nucleolar RNA host gene 17". The record is from RNAcentral. Lineage: Eukaryota; Metazoa; Chordata; Mammalia; Primates; Hominidae.